RNAcentral lists this ribosomal RNA (460 nucleotides) under uncultured bacterium. Its description in RNAcentral is "partial 16S ribosomal RNA". It matches the Rfam family "Bacterial small subunit ribosomal RNA", at positions 338 to 795 of the family's 1533-position model. The record is from RNAcentral.
CCUACGGCGGUCAGCAGUGAGGAAUAUUGGUCAAUGGGCGCGAGCCUGAACCAGCCAAGUAGCGUGAAGGAUGACUGCCCUACGGGUUGUAAACUUCUUUUAUAAAGGAAUAAAGUGAGGCACGUGUGCCUUUUUGUAUGUACUUUAUGAAUAAGGAUCGGCUAACUCCGUGCCAGAAGCCCCGGUAAUACGGAGGAUCCGAGCGUUAUACGGAUUUAUUGGGUUUAAAGGGGGCGUAGAUGGGUUGUUAAGUCAGUUGUGAAAGUUUGCGGCUCAACCGUAAAAUUGCAAUUGAUACUGGCAGCCUUGAGUACAGUUGAGGUAGGCGGAAUUCGUGGUGUAGCGGUGAAAUGCGUAGAUAUCACGAAGAACUCCGAUUGCGAAGGCAGCCUACUAAACUGUCACUGACAUUGAUGCUCGAAAGUGUGGGUAUCAAACAGGAUUAGAUACCCUGGUAGUC